RNAcentral lists this ribosomal RNA (1436 nucleotides) under Nassarius sp. NUGB-NME80. RNAcentral's name for it is "partial 16S ribosomal RNA". The stretch from base 118 to 1319 matches the Rfam family "Bacterial large subunit ribosomal RNA". Lineage: Eukaryota; Metazoa; Mollusca; Gastropoda; Neogastropoda; Nassariidae. The record is from RNAcentral.
AAUAAAAUAUUUUGGUAUAUAAUUACAUAUAAUUAAUUAAAUAAUAAAAACAUUUUUAAAUUGAGUAAAAGUGAUAGAAAAUUAUUAAUUUGAACCCAAAAAAAGUACUGUAAAGGAAUAUAUUUAAGUAAAACUAAAGAAAAAAUUGAAAUUUGUACCUUUUGCAUCAUGGUUUAGCUAGAUAUUUAUUUUUUAUAAAAUUUCUCGAAAUCUAAUGAGUUAUUUCUAUUCUAUGUUUUAGCAUCAAAAGAGUAGUUGUGGCAAAAACUUUCUUAGAAGUAGAAAUGGAAAUGAAAUUUUAUUCGUAUUAGAUGAUAGCUAGUUCUUUACUAAAGGUAUAUAAGUACCUAAAAUUAAUUUAAUUUUUAUGAUUCCAUCAUAAAGAAAUUUUAAUUCAACUAAAUUUUUGAGGAUAAGCUCGAAAAUUAUAAUUAUAUAUGUAUUUAAUUCUUAUAAAAAUUUAGGCUUGAAAGUAGCUAUAAUUUUGAGUUUGUUAUAAUUUCAUUAGUAUACUAAGAAAAUAAUUGAUUUACUUAAAGUCAGUAAAGAAAACUCUAUAAUUAAACUGAGCUGAAUUAAUGCUAAAAUGAGUAUUCAUUAUUUUAUAAAAAAUAAACAGGCUAUAAGUUUAUUUUUUUAUAUUUAUUUCAAAAAGAAGUCAUAAAAAGGAACUCGGCAAAAACAUAUUCUGCCUGUUUAGCAAAAACAUCGCUCCUUGAUUACUAAUAAUAAGGAGUCGGACCUGCCCAGUGAAUAUUUCAACGGCCGCGGUACUCUGACCGUGCAAAGGUAGCAUAAUCAUUUGCCUUAUAAUUGAAGGCUAGUAUGAAUGGUUUGACAAGAAUAUAGCUGUCUCUUUAUGAUUUAAUAGAAUUUUAUUUUUAGGUGAAGAAGCCUAAAUUUAAUUAAAAGACAAGAAGACCCUAUCGAGCUUGAAAAAACUUAAUAGAACUAAAAUUAAUAAUACUAAAAAAUUAUCUAUUAAAUAUUUUAGUUGGGGCGACCGAGGAACAUAAAAAGCUUCCUUUAAUAUAAUUUCUUUCUCACCAGAAUUGAUCCAAAAUGUUUUGAUUAAAGAAAUUAGUUACCGUAGGGAUAACAGCAUUAUCUUUUUUAAGAGCUCAUAUCGAAAAAAAGGUUUGUGACCUCGAUGUUGGACCAGAAUAUCCUAAAGGUGCAGCAGCCUUUAAGGGUUGGUCUGUUCGACCAUUAAAAUUCUACGUGAUCUGAGUUCAGACCGGCGUGAGCCAGGUCAGUUUCUAUCUUUAAUUGCUUAGAUAAGCUUAGUACGAAAGGACCAGCUUAUCAUAAAUAAAUAUUAAUAACAGAUUAAAUUUAAUUAUUAAUUAAUCAAAUUAGCAAAAUUAAUGCAAUUGACUUAGGAUCAGUAGAUAUAGGUGAAAUUCCUUUAUUUGAUAAUAAAGGUGGCAGAUGAA